This 468-nucleotide ribosomal RNA is filed under the name uncultured bacterium. RNAcentral's name for it is "partial 16S ribosomal RNA". It matches the Rfam family "Bacterial small subunit ribosomal RNA", at positions 28 to 507 of the family's 1533-position model. The record is from RNAcentral.
GACGAACGCUGGCGGCGUGCUUAACACAUGCAAGUCGAACGGAAAGGCCCUGCUUUUGUGGGGUGCUCGAGUGGCGAACGGGUGAGUAACACGUGAGUAACCUGCCCUUGACUUUGGGAUAACUUCAGGAAACUGGGGCUAAUACCGGAUAGGAGCUCCUGCUGCAUGGUGGGGGUUGGAAAGUUUCGGCGGUUGGGGAUGGACUCGCGGCUUAUCAGCUUGUUGGUGGGGUAGUGGCUUACCAAGGCUUUGACGGGUAGCCGGCCUGAGAGGGUGACCGGCCACAUUGGGACUGAGAUACGGCCCAGACUCCUACGGGAGGCAGCAGUGGGGAAUAUUGCACAAUGGGCGGAAGCCUGAUGCAGCAACGCCGCGUGCGGGAUGACGGCCUUCGGGUUGUAAACCGCUUUCGCCUGUGACGAAGCGUGAGUGACGAUAAUGGGUAAAGAAGCACCGGCUAACUACGUG